This 458-nucleotide ribosomal RNA is filed under the name uncultured bacterium. Its description in RNAcentral is "partial 16S ribosomal RNA". It matches the Rfam family "Bacterial small subunit ribosomal RNA", at positions 338 to 795 of the family's 1533-position model. The record is from RNAcentral.
CCUACGGGAGGCUGCAGUGGGGAAUAUUGCACAAUGGGGGAAACCCUGAUGCAGUGACGCCGCGUGAGUGAAGAAGUAAUUCGUUACGUAAAGCUCUAUCAGCAGGGAAGAAACACUGACCUUACGGUCAGCAGACGGUACCUGGUAAAGAAGCACCGGCUAACGACGUGCCACCAGCCGCGGUAAUACGUAGGGGGCAAGCGUUAUCCGGAUUUACGGGGUGUAAAGGGAGCGUAGCCGGUGCGCCAAGUCUGGAGUGAAAGGCCGCAGCUUAACUGCGGAACUGCUUUUGAAACUGGCGAACUAGAGUGCGGGAGGGGUAAGCGGAAUUCCUAGUGUAGCGGUGAAAUGCGUAGAUAUUAGGAGGAACACCAGUGGCGAAGGCGGCUUACUGGACCGUAACUGACGUUGAGGCUCGAAAGCGUGGGGAGCAAACAGGAUUAGAUACCCUUGUAGUC